RNAcentral lists this ribosomal RNA (900 nucleotides) under uncultured alveolate. RNAcentral's name for it is "SSU rRNA". It matches the Rfam family "Eukaryotic small subunit ribosomal RNA", at positions 43 to 962 of the family's 1831-position model. The record is from RNAcentral.
CAUAAGCCUGCAUGUCUAAGUAUAAAUGGUAUACAGUGAAACUGCGAAUGGCUCAUUAAAACAGUUAUAGUUUAUUUGGUAAUCGAAUUUACAUGGAUAACGCGUGGUAAUUCUAGAGCUAAUACAUGCUGUAAGCCCGACUUUUCGGAAGGGCCGUAUUUAUUAGAUAACAGACCAAUAUUCUUCGUGUCUAUUGUGGUGAAUCAUAGUAACUAAUCGGAUCGCAUGGGCCUGUCCCGCGACAAACCAUUCAAGUUUCUGCCCCAUCAGCUUUCGAUGGUAGUGUAUUGGACUACCAUGGCUUUUACGGGUAACGGAGGAUUAGGGUUCGAUUCCGGAGAGGGAGCCUGAGAAACGGCUACCACAUCUAAGGAAGGCAGCAGGCGCGUAAAUUACCCAAUCCUAACUCAGGAGGUAGUGACAAGAAAUAAUGGGUCGGAGCUACGCUCCGGGACCGCAAUGAGAUGAAUUUACACCCCUUUUCGAGGAUCAAUUGGAGGGCAAGUCUGGUGCCAGCAGCCGCGGUAAUUCCAGCUCCAAUAGCGUAUAUUAAAGUUGUUGCAGUUAAAAAGCUCGUAGUUGGACUUCUGGCAGGGAGCCAAUGCCCGUUUGAUACGUGCGCAGAGGCCCCCUACCAUCCUUCUGUUAACCCUUCUAGGUCUUCACUGAUCUGCUGGGAGCCCAGAUAUUUUACCUUGAGAAAAUUAGAGUGUUUCAGCAGGCUAGCGCCGGAAUACAUUAGCAUGGAAUAAUAGAAUAGGACUUUAUACCUCUUCUGUUGGUCUGAGGGGAUAGAGUAAUGAUUAAUAGGGAUAGUUGGGGGCAUUAGUUACUUUUACUGUCAGAAGUGAAAUUCUCGGAUUUUGUAAAAGACUAACUUAUGCGAAAGCAUUUGCCAAG